GAUGAACGCUGGCGGCGUGCCUAAUACAUGCAAGUCGAGCGAACAGACGAGGAGCUUGCUCCUCUGACGUUAGCGGCGGACGGGUGAGUAACACGUGGAUAACCUACCUAUAAGACUGGGAUAACUUCGGGAAACCGGGGCUAAUACCGGAUAAUAUAUUGAACCGCAUGGUUCAAUAGUGAAAGACGGUUUUGCUGUCACUUAUAGAUGGAUCCGCGCCGCAUUAGCUAGUUGGUAAGGUAACGGCUUACCAAGGCAACGAUGCGUAGCCGACCUGAGAGGGUGAUCGGCCACACUGGAACUGAGACACGGUCCAGACUCCUACGGGAGGCAGCAGUAGGGAAUCUUCCGCAAUGGGCGAAAGCCUGACGGAGCAACGCCGCGUGAGUGAUGAAGGUCUUCGGAUCGUAAAGCUCUGUUAUUAGGGAAGAACAAAUGUGUAAGUAACUAUGCACGUCUUGACGGUACCUAAUCAGAAAGCCACGACUAACUACGUG
RNAcentral lists this ribosomal RNA (497 nucleotides) under uncultured bacterium. RNAcentral's name for it is "partial 16S ribosomal RNA". It matches the Rfam family "Bacterial small subunit ribosomal RNA", at positions 28 to 507 of the family's 1533-position model. The record is from RNAcentral.